CGAAGCUGUAGCCGGGGACUGCAUCGGUGGCUAGGGUGAUGGUGUCCUGUGAGAGGUUGGCUGCUAAGGAGGAGCCACCAUAGGUGAGGUUGAAUGAGCACACCCCCCCACCGCAUGUGGGUUUUGGCACCUGAAAUUACGCGAAGAUCAUAGAAGUUAAAAAGUCUUUUUUUAUAUAAAGGCCCUGGUGACAUGUCAAGAAAAAAACAAAGGAAACAACACUCGGAGAUGUGAGUAAUGGUGAGAGUAAAUGCAGUACCUGCUUACACUGAGCAGCUUGGCAGCCAAGGGACUUGUAGGUAGUAGAGGCAGGAGAGUUAAAGAGAGUGGAGGAGCAGCCCAGACAGCCAUUGCAAGGAAUCCAAGCAACAUCACUGCUGGUGUCCAUGGCCAUGAGCAUGGUUUGAGCAGGAGUUCCAAUCUUAGCCCUCACAAUAUAAGUUGGGUUCUGGACGAUCUGCCUGCCUGAAGCAAUAGGCACUACAGAUUUGCGGGCGACAAGGCUAGAUAAAAACUGGAGCCUGGCCUUGUCCUUGGCCUGCAUUUGGAGCACACUCUCCUCCCAGGACAGUGGCUCUUUUGGCCUGA
RNAcentral lists this long non-coding RNA (588 nucleotides) under Vitis vinifera (wine grape). Its description in RNAcentral is "long non-coding RNA (VVIN_LNC004293)". Lineage: Eukaryota; Viridiplantae; Streptophyta; Magnoliopsida; Vitales; Vitaceae. The record is from RNAcentral.